AAUAUUGGACAAUGGGGGCAACCCUGACCCAGCCAUGCCGCGGGUGUGAAGAAGGUCUCCGGAUUGUAAAGCACUUUACGUUGGGAGAAAGGGUUUUAGCCUAAUACCCUGAAGUUUUGCCGUACCCAACAGAAUAAGCACCGGCUACCUUCGUGCACGCAACCGCGGUAAUACGAUGGGUGUAAGCGUUAAUCGGAAUUACUGGGCGUAACGCGAGCGUGGGUGGUUCGUUAAGUUGGAAGCGAAAGCCACAGGCUUAACCUUGAAAUUGCUUUCAAAACUGACGAGCUAGAGUACGGUAGAGGGUAAUGGAAUUUCCUGUGUAGCGGUGAAAUGCGUAGAUGUAGGAAGGAGCAUCAGUGGCGAAGGCGAAUACCUGGACUGAUACUAACACUGAGGUGCGAAAGCGUGAGGAGCAAAC
This 421-nucleotide ribosomal RNA is filed under the name uncultured bacterium. RNAcentral describes it as "partial 16S ribosomal RNA". It matches the Rfam family "Bacterial small subunit ribosomal RNA", at positions 360 to 773 of the family's 1533-position model. The record is from RNAcentral.